UGAUAAUGGACUGAACCUCUGAACCUUCAGAUUUGGCAGCCAGAGGGAGGGUACGGAGGAGGUUGGCAGGCACUGGACUUGGCCCAUUCUGUGCUCCUGAGAACCAACCGUGCUGAGAACAGGGCCUGUGGAGAAGGCAACAAGCAAUCACCCUACUCCAAACGGAGGCUGAAGGGGUUAACCCAGCCAUAGCUAAUUGAGCAGAGGGAUUCAGCCUCAGCCUGGAGGAGGGCCUGUUCUAUUGCUGCCUCCCUUUGGAUUGCCUUUCGUGUUGCCAUGGUGAUCCCUAGGCUACCCAGGAUACCCAUUGCUGCCCCAGAAUUCUCUGCUUGAGCAGAGCGGCUCUCCCUUCAGCCUGUUUAGAACACCUUUCUUUUUACUAUGAUAUGCUCAAGCUCUGCAAAAACCAACACCGCUUUGUCCAUACAGACCACAGGAGUGAAUAAUUCAGAGUCCUCUGUCCUGGGCCAGGACUAAGGCUUCUUGACAGCGCCACCGUGAAGAAGAUGGAAAGCAGGUUCUGAAAAGGAGUCAGGUACCGGCAAACCAACAUCACUGGCAGAAUGCAGCUCAACCCUCUGUCUCAGGAAACUUGGAGACAUGGACAACACCGUGCCUACUCCAAUGUCACUGAAAGGUUGUCUUGCUUGACUCUCCAGGAGCCCAGUGUCAGCCAUCUCUACCAGAUUCUCUCUCCUGGACCCAGAAGAUCCUUCUUGCUUGAUGACUCUUUAUCCAAUUCCAUCCAGCGAGAGUCCCUGGCUGUUCCCACUGGACUUGAGGACAGCGCCUCCAGUGGUCAGCAGCAGCAGGAGCAGCAGCAGCAGCACAGAGCUGUCCCUGAGGAUCUGGAAGAGGAGGAAAUCUCCCCAACAGACGUGAAAUACCGCCUGCAGCUGCUCGAGGAGGCUCCAUUAGGGAGCAUGAGUUCCAGUGUACACAGCCAGUGCCACAAGCCUGGGGGGAUGCCAUUCAGCAAAAACCAGAGAGAGUGGUUCAAGCCCUGGACCGUGACAAACCCUGAGGCUGAGCUUUCCCAUUCAGGUCACACCCAGGGCAGAAGAGCAACACCAAGAGGACAGCUGAGACAUGUGGAGUAUGACAGCCAGGACCAGGACACCCAAGUCCUAGUGUGGAGUCAUGCCCUCUUCCCUGGUCUAGACAAGAGCAGUCAGGGAGUCAUCCAAUCCGCACAGCACGUGUCGAGGCAGAAGGGAACAGAAUCCGGUUGGUGGUCUAUGACCCAUGCACAUCAUGAGAAGAGCCAGACAAAGCAUGGGACAGCCUUUGUGGGGACAAAGAGAACUGCCAAGUUUAAUGAUGCUACAACAGCCAGGAUGCCCUCUCUGCCACCUCUCAAGCUCCUGGAGAAAAAAGGGAAGAAUAGGUGUCCCCCCAACACAGCUGGGGUCUUCCAAGGCAGGUUACAAUCUGAAGUGACCAGCAAGCAGAUCUUCCAAGACUGGAGAACUCAGUCCCAAGGGCGCUUUGGAAGUAACGAAAAGCUCCCGGAGCCAUUUGAGGAUCAAGUCAACACGAAGGUAGCAUACAUGCCCUUGUUUUCUGAAAGAGUGAAGUUUGUAAGCCCCAGAACAGUUGCAUCAAACCUGAGACAAAUACAUUCUCAACUGAGUAAGAAAAGCCAAGCAGGUCAGCUCCAGAAUUUGGCCUCACAAAAGGAACACCUGGAGAAAAGGACUGCCUGAAUAAAUUCUGGGAAAUCACACCAGAAGCCUGUAAGCCCAGCACUCCACUGAGGCAGGACUGCUGUAAAUCCUAGGCCAGCAUGGGCUGUAGUAUGAGACGCUGUCACACAGACAGAAAUUCCAGACUCAGCUUUCAGCCCAGUUGCUGCCGCUUGUCAAAUGUCUUGGGAUGCUAGCAGAACAACGAUGAAUUGUUUCUUGGGGAAGGAAGGCGGCUCCAUGUCCCAGAAGGGCGAUUGUGUUCCAGAAGACCUGAGAAGAAAGGCUUGCUGGCUGUGGGAUUUACAGGUAUAAUCUUCUUACAGAAGUAACAGAAGCCCAAGGACAACACAGCUGCUGUGAGAAGCCUGUGCUAACUUCCCAUGGGGGCCAGGGUGGGGAGGGGCCCUCAUUUAUUCCCUAAGGGAUAGAGCACUGACUGACUUGGAUUUUGAGAUGGUAGCCUAAAUGAGCCUUGGAACCCCCAUCUUCCUGCCUGUCUCCCAAAUUCUGGAAUUACAAAUAUGUCACCAUGG
Mus musculus (house mouse) is the source of this 2221-nucleotide RNA transcript. It is a transcript of the gene named RIKEN cDNA 4931429L15 gene, with no coding region annotated. The record is from RefSeq and is marked validated. NCBI's taxonomy places the organism in Eukaryota, Metazoa, Chordata, Mammalia, Rodentia, Muridae. The transcript is spliced from 15 exons.